RNAcentral lists this unclassified non-coding RNA (343 nucleotides) under soil metagenome. RNAcentral describes it as "partial contains 5.8S ribosomal RNA, internal transcribed spacer 2, and large subunit ribosomal RNA". The stretch from base 1 to 120 matches the Rfam family "5.8S ribosomal RNA", at positions 35 to 154 of the family's 154-position model. The record is from RNAcentral.
GAUGAAGAACGUAGCGAAAUGCGAUAAGUAAUGUGAAUUGCAGAAUUCAGUGAAUCAUCGAGUCUUUGAACGCACAUUGCGCCCCCUGGUAUUCCGGGGGGCAUGCCUGUCCGAGCGUCAUUGCUGCCCUCAAGCACGGCUUGUGUGUUGGGCCCCGUCCCCUCCCCCGGGGACGGGCCCGAAAGGCAGCGGCGGCACCGCGUCCGAUCCUCGAGCGUAUGGGGCUUUGUCACCCGCUCUGUAGGCCCGGCCGGCGCCAGCCGACACCCAACUUUUAUUUCUAAGGUUGACCUCGGAUCAGGUAGGGAUACCCGCUGAACUUAAGCAUAUCAAUAACGGAGGA